Molecule: ribosomal RNA, 497 nt
Filed under: uncultured bacterium
Lineage: Bacteria
Description: partial 16S ribosomal RNA
Rfam family: Bacterial small subunit ribosomal RNA
Source: RNAcentral
GAUGAACGCUGGCGGCGUGCCUAAUACAUGCAAGUCGAGCGAACAGAUAAGGAGCUUGCUCCUUUGACGUUAGCGGCGGACGGGUGAGUAACACGUGGGUAACCUACCUAUAAGACUGGAAUAACUCCGGGAAACCGGGGCUAAUGCCGGAUAACAUUUAGAACCGCAUGGUUCUAAAGUGAAAGAUGGUUUUGCUAUCACUUAUAGAUGGACCCGCGCCGUAUUAGCUAGUUGGUAAGGUAACGGCUCACCAAGGCAACGAUACGUAGCCGACCUGAGAGGGUGAUCGGCCACACUGGAACUGAGACACGGUCCAGACUCCUACGGGAGGCAGCAGUAGGGAAUCUUCCGCAAUGGGCGAAAGCCUGACGGAGCAACGCCGCGUGAGUGAUGAAGGUCUUCGGAUCGUAAAACCCUGUUAUUAGGGAAGAACAAAUGUGUAAGUAACUGUGCACGUCUUGACGGUACCUAAUCAGAAAGCCACGGCUAACUACGUG